Biomphalaria pfeifferi is the source of this 797-nucleotide non-coding RNA. The record is from the annotation of a GenBank genome assembly. NCBI's taxonomy places the organism in Eukaryota, Metazoa, Mollusca, Gastropoda, Planorbidae.
GGGUGGGGGGGCAAAAAGGGUACCUGGGAGAAGGUUUCCAUUCUGUCUUUAGUUGCUCAGCAAACACAACUCUUCUUUCCCCUUGAUAGGUAGCCAAGCCCCUUUGAAAGGUAGCUCAGCAAUUUAAGCCUCUCAGUCACACAUCCUUGUUCCUAUUCACUUUCUUUUUAAUAUUCAUAUCUUUGCUUAGGGAGAAACACUGCUUUCUGUUGGCUGUUUGUUUCUGCCUGGGCUGUAUAACUUUUGGUAAGCAAGCCAAAGGUAGUGCUUGUCUUAGAGCCAAGUAAAACAUCACUUAGCUAAGGUACUUAGAUACUACCUAGGCCUGACUGGUACUGACCAUGGACCAUUUUCAAAUGCCAUCACAAUGAAGGAGAAUAUCUUCUGUGUAUUUAUGUUUUCUGUGAGACUGUCAAAUGAAUAUAGUGGAUAGAAUACAUGACACUGAAUUAGAUUGGAAGUGUGACUGACUGGAUUGUGUGGAUAUAAUGACUGAACAGACAAUUAGAAUUGAAUGGAAAGUGUGGUCUGAACAUUGAAUUUUAUCUCUUUUUAUGUUUUGAAUCAUUGAGUCAGCUCAUGGUAAUGAAUGCAAAUGUACUAAUUAACUAAACCAUGUUAAGUUUUUGUAUGUUCAAUUGUUUUUCUUUGUCUGUAUGAAGAAUUAAAAUUGUUGCUGACUUCAUUGAUGAUUGACAGUGCCACAUUAUAUUAUAUGGCAUAUUCACAUAGAGGAACUUACUGUUCUAGCUUGACUUGGGUUAAAUAAAUAAAUAAAUUGUUUUUGAAACAAAGCA